GACGAACGCUGGCGGCGUGCUUAACACAUGCAAGUCGAACGGAAAGGCCCUGCUUUUGUGGGGUGCUCGAGUGGCGAACGGGUGAGUAACACGUGAGUAACCUGCCCUUGACUGUGGGAUAACUUCAGGAAACUGGGGCUAAUACCGGAUAGGAGCUCCUGCUGCAUGGUGGGGGUGGGAAAGUUUCGGGGGUUGGGGAUGGACUCGCGGCUUAUCAGCUUGUUGGUGGGGUAGUGGCUUACCAAGGCUUUGACGGGUAGCCGGCCUGAGAGGGUGACCGGCCACAUUGGGACUGAAAUACGGCCCAGACUCCUACGGGAGGCAGCGGUGGGGAAUAUUGCACAAUGGGCGGAAGCAUGAUGCAGCAACGCCGCGUGCGGGAUGACGGCCUUCGGGUUGUAAACCGCUUUCGCCUGUGACGAAGCGUGAGUGACGGUAAUGGGUAAAGAAGCACCGGCUAACUACGUG
Molecule: ribosomal RNA, 468 nt
Filed under: uncultured bacterium
Lineage: Bacteria
Description: partial 16S ribosomal RNA
Rfam family: Bacterial small subunit ribosomal RNA
Source: RNAcentral